UUUGAUCCAUAUUUUGCUUUGAGAAGGUUGGUAUAAUGCUUUCUAAAACUUGUUUUCUUGAAAUUGAAAACAGGUCAGACUGAGAGUGCAUUCAAGGUUCUAAAAGAAGGAGGCAAAGUUGUGACAAUAGUACCACCUGGACUUCCACCAGCAAUCUUUUUCGUGCUCACUUCUGAUGGGGCUGUCUUAGAGAAACUGAGACCUUUCUUGGAAAGCGGCAAGGUAAAGCCAAUACUUGAUCCCAAGAGCCCGUUUCCAUUUUCGCAAACUGUGGAAGCAUUUUCAUAUCUGGAAACAGGCAGAGCCACUGGAAAAGUAGUCAUCCAUCCCAUACCAUGAACUUGACCACUUUAAUUUUAUUCUAAUCUAUAAUGCAGCUGUUUGUGAUUUAAUAAUUGUGGUUAAGAGUGAGAAAUACUUUGGUAAACAUUCUUGUAUUGUCAAUAAAAAUCUCUUUCUAGUGUGGUUGCAAUUGUCUGGUAAAUGUAAUAUAUAGUUUGUAUGUUCUGAUUAAUUAAAAACUGCUGCAAGAACAUGUGAUAGGUAUCAAUGAUGAGCAAGGAACAAAGACUGCAUUUUAAUUCAAAGAAUGCUACUAAACUACACAAAUUCUCUGGUAUUUGAGAGACCAGAGAACUCUCUGCAAAUACCCAUUACAAUCUAGAUGUCCCACUUAUUCUCCUCACCCUCUCAUUUAUAGUCACUCCUCACACACUCUAUAACAAACUUACUGGCUAAUUGUUAUGCUAACUAACCCUCACUUACAAUUACCUACCAAUACUUCCACUGUGAACAUUCACCUUAUCCUCAAGGUUAAAGGAUUGAGUACAAAGCUUAAGAAUUGAACAAUUCUCUGCAAAAGUCCAUACGAGCAAAAAUUCACUUGGAUCCCAUUGCUUAAAGCACUAUGGAUUCUUUGGUCCCACUGCUAUGUAACACAUCAAUUAUUAUUAUUUGAAAAUAUAACAUCAAUUUGUUGAGCAGUUGAGUUCCAUUGGUCAACAUUCAACCCCAUUUAUUUAUGAAGUGUUGAUCCAUAUAUUUUGUCUGUGCCGAAGAGCUUGGUUGUCGUUGUGCUUAUUUAAUGACUUCAUGAUCUCUUGCCAAUUUGAUGUGUGCUUCCUGUCCUGGAUUUUUCAUACCCGUGUGAACAUUUUCUACACCAACACUUAGUUUGAUUUGACUUGCUUCAAUAUUUUUUUUUAUAAGUCAAACUUGUAUUAAAAGGAAGUAAAGGGUACUCCAACCCAUAAUACAUAGACACCAAACAUUGAAAGUAGAAAUAAUCAAUCUAAAGACAUAGUACAAUGAUAAAGCAAAUGUAAAAAGAUCACAGCCACAUAGCUAAGAUCUUAUAUUGGCACAAAACAACAACAGUCCUCCCCCCACUCAACCUUGCCCAAGAACCGCUAUUUCAUUGGUCGUGUCAUGCUGAAUCAUGUCCUUUCGGAGACAAGUGUUAUUAGUUUAUGUUAGGAAAUAACACACCUGAAGAAGUAAAAUAAACCAGGAGCGCAAUCAACAACACAAGAAUAUAACGUGAAAACUCCAAAAUCGGAGAAAAAACCACGGCCGUUGUCAAAACCGACAACCAGAAAAUAAACACUAUGUGAAAAUUGUUACAACACAUAGACUUCACUCUCAACCACUCCAUGACCCCAGUACACCCACACUCUCCAAAGUAAAUAUUUGAACUAUAUCUCACAAUGCUCUAAACCAAGAGCAUAAGAGAAAAAGAAAACACAAAUAUAAACUUAAAGUGUUUUCAGGUGCUACAUCUUUGGUGUUUUGGUGUGUUGAAACAAGGAGCUUGAGAUCCCUAUAUAUAGUCUUGGACCCUCCCACCCCUCACUAAUCUAAGCGAUGUGGGACUUCUCCAAGAUGUAUAACUUGAUCUUUUUUUCUCCUUCAUUAGCAAUGUGAGACUUACAUUGCAAUCAACCCCAACACUUUAGUCACAAAUGAGCAUUUUCUUCACAUGGCACAUGACAUCUUUUCGCUGAAUUCGUGCCUGUUAUCAGCGACAUCAUGAGGCCUAACUCAACUCAACUUAAAAACUAGCUCUUAUGGUUGAGUUAGACUUUCUAAAUUAUUAUAUUGUAUCGUCUAUUUUAGAUCUAUUUGUUGGUGGAGAACUCUUAUGUUUAGAUCACUCCACAGAUGUCCCGUCUUACAUUCCUUCCUCCACCUCUUUCCACUUUAAAGAGGGGUGUGAAGACAACAUUAUUCUUCUAAUAAUAAGAAAAGGUCCAUAAGAUUCAUAAGUAACUCGAGGUGUUUUCAGAUCGCAAGUAUCACGUUAUCUUUCUUUAUAAAGUUUAUGGCCAGUGGUAGCCAAGAAAACAUACCACAAACGAUGAUGUUGACUAGAUGUUCAAAAGGCCUACGUCUCUGUAUCCGGACUGUUUCUCCUCAAAUUGUAAAGCUUGAACUGCACACCGCACAAUAAAGAAAUUGAGUAAUGUUACUUAUACACCUCUUUUUAAGAUGGAAGAAGUGGAAUAGAAGAGAUUUAAGAAAAAAAAAAGUAAGAGAGAAAGUAUGAGAUAAAGUAUGAGAUAUGAUUGAUGAUAAGCAGGGCCGGCCCAAGAGUAAAGCCACUCAAACAAGAGUUUUAGAUCUCCUGAAAAAAAAAAUUACUAAAGAAAAAAGACCUCAAUUUUUUUUUUACUUAAUAAAAAAGCUCAAAAAAACCAAGCAUUAAUACUAAGUUAAAAAUGCCCAAAAAAAACGUCUCACUUUAAAGUUGGUUUUAUGCCUAAUUUAGUGUUGGGUCGCCCUAAUAAUAAAAUGAGAGAAAUAAAAAUAAAAAUAGGUGUAAAUGAAGUGGUUAAAAAAUUAUAUCCUAUCCAAAUGCAUGAAUUCAAUAAUGAAGUUAUUUUAUUGUCGGACUAAUAGUACUACUUUACCAAGACACUCACUCUUCAAUUCUUCAUCUCUUAUUUCUCUCUCUUCAAUUCUUCACUCUUUUCAAGCAUGGCAGCAAUACCCACUCACAUCAAAGCAUGGACCUACUCAGAAUACGGCAAGAGCACUGAUAUUCUUAAGUUCGAUCCAAACGUGCCUUUACCUGAGUUGAAGGAGGAUCAUGUCCUCAUCAAGGUCGUUGCUGCAGCCCUUAAUCCCAUUGAUUAUAAGAGAAUGGAAGCUUUGUUUAAGGACACAGAUUCCCCUUUACCCGUAAGUUAAUUUUCAAUUCUCCACUUUUCCAUAGCGCGCCGAGCCGAUUUGUGUACACCAUUUUUUUUAAAUCAGCGACACUUGCAGUUUGUGGCGGUCUACAUAGUAUAAAAGUUUUGCAGUUUAUCAUAAAUUGCCGGUGUCUCUAGUAUUAAAAAAAAUAUUAAUGUACACGAACCAUUUUGGCUUUCCAUAUUGCUUCUUUUUCUUGAUUUCUUUUUUUUUCAUGUAUUUUGUGACAUAAUUUUAUCUAUGGUGGUUUCUUUUCAGACAGCUCCAGGGUAUGAUGUUGCUGGAGUGGUGGUUAAGGUUGGAAGUGAAGUGAAGAAAUUUAAAGUUGGAGAUGAAGUUUAUGGUGAUAUCAAUGAGAAUGCUCUGGAGUAUCCAAAGGUUGUUGGUUCAUUGGCAGAGUAUACAGCUGUAGAAGAGAAAUUGUUGGCUCACAAGCCUAAGAAUCUGAGCUUUGUUGAGGCAGCUAGUCUUCCUUUAGCAAUUGAGACUGCUUAUGAAGGCCUUGAGCGUGCUGGGUUUUCUGCUGGGAAAUCUAUUCUUGUGCUUGGAGGUGCUGGUGGAGUUGGAACCCACGUUAUUCAGGUAACAAUGUGAUACUAGCUAGUGAGUAGUGACCAAGUAUUUUGUUUUUAGGAAUGAUACCAACACCCACUGUUCAACACUUUUAAUUGAUUGGAUAAAAUGUAUGUGCAUCCAUUAAAUUUGUAGUGUAGUCUCAUGAAUUUCAACAAAAUCAAUAAAAGAUUGUUGGAAAAAGAUUAUUAAAGAGGGUAUUGCUAGCAUAUUUGUAUUCACAAAUAUUGUUUCGUACACACUCUACAAAGAGUGAAGAUGUAAUAAAAUAAAAGAAAUAUGAAAAAAAGAAAAGAAAUGAAGAAUAAGAUUUGAUAUGCGGUAUAAUUGAAGGAGAAGAACAAUAUAUAAAAAACAGGUGAAAUUGAAGUAAACAUCUAUUUUUAGGAGUGGUCAAAAUAGUGAAGUCAUACACACUCAUGCUUCACUUACUUAAAUUUUAAAUUGGAUAUUAAGUGUAUUAUGAUUUAUUUGCACUUCUACUACAUUUUUAUAUUUAUUUUUUAUUUAGUUAUCUUUUGUCUUUCAAUUAUAUCAUCUAUUUAUAUUUAUUAUUUUCUUUCUCUAUUCUUUAUAUGUCUUUUUUCUAUAUCUUUAUUCCAUUUAUAGUUAAAUGAGAGUGUGAAUGAACUCAAAAGAUUUAAAAAAAAAUGUUUUCUAAAUGACCCAUAAUAAAGUUUGGGUUAUUUAACCCAAACUUUAUCAUGAGUUAUUUAGACAAUAAAAAAAAACUCAAAAGUUACUCUCAUAAAUACAAAAAUAGAUACUGAUAUGAAUAGCCUAAAUGGUACUUGAUGGUUUAAAAUAUCUCAGAUUUAUUGAAAUGCUACUGAUAUCAGAUACCAAUAAAUAAAAAAUAGAUAUAAAAGGAAAUAUCUCUUUAUAGUAGGUGGCCGCCCCCUCGCCCCUUUCCGCCACGAAUAUUACCUUCCCCCACAUACAAUUAACGUUUUUUAUUUUCGAAAGACCCACAUACAAUUUAUUUAUUUUUGUUUUUGAAAGAGACCCAUAUGGCCAUAUACUAUGUUUUCUGAAGGUGACCCAUAUACUAUGUUAAAAGAGCAAUUAUUUGAUUUGUCUUGUAUCCAGUACCAAUAAAACAUUAUUUAGGGGUUACUUGUGAUUGAGAUUUUAGAGGGAAAGGGAGAUAUUGACUUGUUUUUGUUUUUAAAUUAAGAAAAUAACAUAUAAAUAUUUACGAUAAUAAAUUUUUUUUUUGAACUCAAAUAAAUUAUUAGUAUAUGAUCAUUAUGUUUAUACUAAUUUGAAGUUGUGUGAAAAUAUUUCAAUACGAGCUUUGUUAUUUUUUUUUCAUUGUUAUUUUAAUAUAUUGUACUCUUAUGCUAAAAUUAUCAGUAUUACAAACCAGUCAGUAAAUUGUACACCAACAGCUAUCACAAGUACACUUGAGUUAUGUACAAAACUAAAAUUGUUUGUUAUGAGAGACCGUAACAUAUUCAAUUUACAAAUAAAAUUAUUUUUCCCAGUUGCUAAAAUACCAUGGGGACCACACAAAAAAUCUCAAAAUCUUAAUAGUUUGAAUACUGAUAUAAUAUUUCAUGAUAUAUAUAAGUGAUUAUAAUUGAUAAUGCCUUGUUGAUGUAGCUUGCCAAGCAUGUUUUUGGCGCAUCUAAGGUAGCAGCUACAUCUAGCACUGGGAAGCUGGAGCUGUUGAGGAAGUUAGGAGCUGACAUGCCUAUUGAUUAUACAAAGGAGAACGUUGAAAACCUGCCUGAAAAGUUUGAUGUGGUGUUUGAUGCAGUUGGUAAGACUUUUGCACUUCUAACCCAUAAUUUUUAAGUUGUAGAAGCAAUAGAUAAGCAUUAAUAUUACUUAUUGAAACUGAACUAGUGCUCCAUUUGGUACAUAUCCAACCGAAUUCUAACGAUAAGUACUUUUAUCCCUGGACUUUGAUACCAUAAUUUUCUUAGAGACUUUGAUACCAUAAUCUUCUUUGAGAAUUUUAUGAGGUUGAUAUGAUAUUUUCUACGAGAUGAAGUAUUUACCUUUCUUAUAACACAAAACAGGGGACGCUGACACGACAUUCAAGCCUUUGAAAGAAGGAGGCAAAUUUGUGACAAUAGUACCACCUGGACUUCCACCACCGGCAAUCUAUUACAUAUUGAAAUCUGAUGGGGCUGUCUUAGAGAAACUAAAACCGUAUUUGGAAAGUGGCAAGGUAAAGCCAAUACUUGAUCCCAAGAGUCCCUUUCCAUUUUCCCAAACUGUUGAAGCAUUUUCCUAUCUGGAAACUAACAGAGCCGUUGGAAAAGUGGUCAUCCAUCCCAUACCAUGAACAUAAACCAUUGUGGUUCUAUCAUAAUCUAUGUUGUUGUUUGUGAUUUAAGAUUUGUGUUCAAGAGUGAGAAAUACUUUGGUUUAAAUGUAGUAAUGUACCUGGUUUUCAUUUCAAGGAAGGGUAUACGGUGAAAUAAAGUUCUCUUCCUAGUGUAGUUGAGUUGUAUGCUAAAUUGAAUGUGUUAUAUUUUUUCUUUUUGGUAAU
RNAcentral lists this long non-coding RNA (6268 nucleotides) under Lotus japonicus. Its description in RNAcentral is "long non-coding RNA (LJAP_LNC002001)". Lineage: Eukaryota; Viridiplantae; Streptophyta; Magnoliopsida; Fabales; Fabaceae. The record is from RNAcentral.